RNAcentral lists this ribosomal RNA (426 nucleotides) under uncultured bacterium. Its description in RNAcentral is "partial 16S ribosomal RNA". It matches the Rfam family "Bacterial small subunit ribosomal RNA", at positions 354 to 796 of the family's 1533-position model. The record is from RNAcentral.
GUGAGGAAUUUUCCGCAAUGGGCGAAAGCCUGACGGAGAAAUGCCGCGUGAAGGAUGAAGGCCUAUGGGUUGUAAACUUCUGUUCUCAGAAAAGAAUUAUGACGGUAUCUGAGGAAUAAGCAUCGGCUAACUCUGUGCCAGCAGCCGCGGUAAGACAGAGGAUGCAAGCGUUAUCCGGAAUGAUUGGGCGUAAAGCGUCUGUAGGUUGUUUAAAAAGUAUUCUGUCAAAGAUUAGGGCUUAACCCUAGAUAGGCAGAAUAAACUUUUAAGCUAGAGUUUGGUAGAGGCAGAGGGAAUUCCCGGUGGAGCGGUGAAAUGCGUAGAUAUCGGGAGGAACACCAAAGGCGAAGGCACUCUGCUGGGCCAAUACUAACACUGAGAGACGAAAGCGAGGGGAGCAAAUGGGAUUAGAAACCCUAGUAGUCC